UGAAAUUUGUAAUCUCAUUUUGAGAGUUUUUCCCUUAAUUUGCAAUUCUUGUGAUAGAAUGCAUGAGAACCAUUCAACCUAACCUUGAUCAAGUUUGAUUGUGGAGUACUGGCUCAAUUUAGAACAAGAUUUCCAAAUCUUGCUUCUAGAUCUUUGAUAUAAGAGGAGUUGGUUGAUGGUUAUCGUACUAACUAUGGUAAGCCUCGGUGUACUAUGAAAGUUGAUUUUCAAAAAGCUUAUAAUUCUGUUAACUGGGACUUUCUUUUCGACUUGUUGACGACUAUUGGCACCCCCUUGAGGUUUGUGAGUUGGUUGAGAGCUUGUGUUACCUCUCAGAUGUUCUCCAUUAUGAUUAAUGGCUCUUUGGAGGGUUUUUUUUCAUGAAAGAAAAGGUUUGAGGCAGAGUGAUCCUUUAUCUCCUUUCCUUUUUGUGAUGGUUAGAUUUUGUCUCGUAUGUUAAAUCGGCCUCCUCAGAGCACCAUCACUGUGAGAAUGUUAGUUUAACACAUCUGACCUUCGCAGAUGAUCUUUUGAUAUUUUGUGCAGCUUAUGAGUCCUCUUUGAAUUUUAUCAACGAGACUCUUUGGAAGUUUAGUGAACUCUCAAGGCUGUUUGCAAAUCUUGAAAAAAGUUAUAUUUUUGUUAUGGAGGUUAAUAGUGAGGAAGCUUCUCGUUUAGCUGCUAGUUUGAGUUUAACCUUGAUGCUUUGGAGAAAAAAAAUGGACAAUACUUCCCAUUGAUAUUUCAAUUGAUUUUGUUGGUUGAGAUUCUACUUAUGGAACAACGUGCUUGACCAUACGUCAUUUACUCAUAAUAACCAUAUAUAUAGAUUAAAAAAUGUUUGGCUCUUAAUACCCAACUGUGUUAAUUACUCCACUUAAAUUUAUACUCAGUACAAAUAUAACUUUAACAAAGACCCAAAAUGUCUCAAAAUAAAAUGUUUCAUCUAUUAAAACAACCUAAAGAAAAACAGAGGUUGAAAUAUCAAUCAUAAUACCAAGAAAAAAGAAGAGAAUGUGGAGGCGACAAUCAUUAUUCCAGUGUUCAUCCCCUAAGUGUAAAUUGAUUGGGAUGUUCAGUCUUAAUCCUUAUCCUUUUUUCUUUCCAUUCUUUCGACUGAGGAGUAUGAAAAUCAAAGGAAAUUUAUAUACACAUAAAAUAUUGUUCACAAACAGACAGAGGCGACGAUCAUUAUUUCUACAUGUUUGCGUUUUCCACUAUCAUUUUUUCUUUUUUCUUUUCUUUUUUU
Molecule: long non-coding RNA, 1249 nt
Organism: Cucumis sativus (cucumber)
Lineage: Eukaryota; Viridiplantae; Streptophyta; Magnoliopsida; Cucurbitales; Cucurbitaceae
Exons: 2
Source: RefSeq, a predicted model, not a curated record